RNAcentral lists this non-coding RNA (32 nucleotides) under Canis lupus familiaris (dog). Its description in RNAcentral is "miRNA (multiple genes)". It matches the Rfam family "Small nucleolar RNA U3", at positions 1 to 32 of the family's 219-position model. From Rfam's summary of the family: Small nucleolar RNAs (snoRNAs) are involved in the processing and modification of rRNA in the nucleolus. There are two main classes of snoRNAs: the box C/D class, and the box H/ACA class. U3 snoRNA is a member of the box C/D class. Lineage: Eukaryota; Metazoa; Chordata; Mammalia; Carnivora; Canidae. The record is from RNAcentral. RNAcentral also lists the same sequence under 5 other names.
AAGACUAUACUUUCAGGGAUCAUUUCUAUAGU